This 468-nucleotide ribosomal RNA is filed under the name uncultured bacterium. RNAcentral describes it as "partial 16S ribosomal RNA". It matches the Rfam family "Bacterial small subunit ribosomal RNA", at positions 28 to 507 of the family's 1533-position model. The record is from RNAcentral.
GACGAACGCUGGCGGCGUGCUUAACACAUGCAAGUCGAACGGAAAGGCCCUGCUUUUGUGGGGUGCUCGAGUGGCGAACGGGGGAGUAACACGUGAGUAACCUGCCCUUGACUGUGGGAUAACUUCAGGAAACUGGGGCUAAUACCGGAGAGGAGCUCCUGCUGCAUGGUGGGGGUUGGAAAGUUUCGGCGGUUGGGGAUGGACUCGCGGCUUAUCAGCUUGUUGGUGGGGUAGUGGCUUACCAAGGCUUUGACGGGUAGCCGGCCUGAGAGGGUGACCGGCCACAUUGGGACUGAGAUACGGCCCAGACUCCUACGGGAGGCAGCAGUGGGGAAUAUUGCACAAUGGGCGGAAGCCUGAUGCAGCAACGCCGCGUGCGGGAUGACGGCCUUCGGGUUGUAAACCGCUUUCGCCUGUGACGAAGCGUGAGUGACGGUAAUGGGUAAAGAAGCACCGGCUAACUACGUG